Molecule: ribosomal RNA, 305 nt
Filed under: uncultured bacterium
Lineage: Bacteria
Description: bacterial SSU rRNA
Rfam family: Bacterial small subunit ribosomal RNA
Source: RNAcentral
UUUCCCUACGGGACGCAGCAGUGGGGAAUAUUGCACAAUGGGGGAAACCCUGAUGCAGCGACGCCGCGUGAAGGAAGAAGUAUUUCGGUAUGUAAACUUCUAUCAGCAGGGAAGAAAAUGACGGUACCUGACUAAGAAGCCCCGGCUAACUACGUGCCAGCAGCCGCGGUAAUACGUAGGGGGCAAGCGUUAUCCGGAUUUACUGGGUGUAAAGGGAGCGUAGACGGCUGUGCAAGUCUGGAGUGAAAGGCGGGGGCCCAACCCCCGGACUGCUCUGGAAACUGUAUGGCUGGAGUGCAGGAGAG